Molecule: long non-coding RNA, 1704 nt
Organism: Oncorhynchus keta (chum salmon)
Lineage: Eukaryota; Metazoa; Chordata; Actinopteri; Salmoniformes; Salmonidae
Exons: 7
Source: RefSeq, a predicted model, not a curated record
CUCACCGUCUGAUAGGUGAGGUGAAGUGUGUGUUCUCACCGUCUGGUAGGUGAAGUGUGUGUUCUCACCAUCUGAUAGGUGAAGUGUGUGUUCUCACCAUCUGAUAGGUGAAGUGUGUGUUCUCACCAUCUGAUAGGUGAAGUGUGUGUUCUCACCAUCUGAUAGGUGAAGUGUGUGUUCUCACCAUCUGGUAGGUGAAGUGAAGUGUGUGUUCUCACCAUCUGGUAGGUGAAGUGUGUGUUCUCACCAUCUGGUAGGUGAAGUGUGUGUUCUCACCAUCUGGUAGGUGAAGUGUGUGUUCUCACCAUCUGGUAGGUGAAGUGUGUGUUCUCACCAUCUGAUAGGUGAAGUGUGUGUUCUCACCAUCUGAUAGGUGAAGUGUGUGUUCUCACCGUCUGGUAGGUGAAGUGUGUGUUCUCACCAUCUGAUAGGUGAAGUGUGUGUUCUCACCAUCUGAUAGGUGAAGUGUGUGUUCUCACCGUCUGAUAGGUGAAGUGUGUGUUCUCACCGUCUGAUAGGUGAAGUGUGUGUUCUCACCGUCUGAUAGGUGAAGUGAAGUGUGUGUUCUCACCGUCUGAUAGGUGAAGUGAAGUGUGUGUUCUCACCGUCUGAUAGGUGAAGUGUGUGUUCUCACCGUCUGGUAGGUGAAGUGUGUGUUCUCACCGUCUGAUAGGUGAAGUGUGUGUUCUCACCGUCUGGUAGGUGAAGUGAAGUGUGUGUUCUCACCGUCUGGUAGGUGAAGUGUGUGUUCUCACCAUCUGGUAGGUGAAGUGUGUGUUCUCACCAUCUGAUAGGUGAAGUGAAGUGUGUGUUCUCACCGUCUGGUAGGUGAAGUGUGUGUUCUCACCAUCUGGUAGGUGAAGUGUGUGUUCUCACCGUCUGGUAGGUGAAGUGUGUGUUCUCACUGUCUGAUAGGUGAGGUGUGUGUUCUCACCGUCUGGUAGGUGAAGUGUGUGUUCUCACCGUCUGGUAGGUGAAGUGUGUGUUCUCACUGUCUGAUAGGUGAAGUGUGUGUUCUCACCAUCUGGUAGGUGAGGUGAAGUGUGUGUUCUCACCGUCUGGUAGGUGAAGUGUGUGUUCUCACCAUCUGAUAGGUGAGGUGAAGUGUGUGUUCUCACCGUCUGAUAGGUGAAGUGAAGUGUGUGUUCUCACCGUCUGGUAGGUGAAGUGUGUGUUCUCACCGUCUGGUAGGUGAGGUGAAGUGUGUGUUCUCACCAUCUGGUAGGUGAAGUGUGUGUUCUCACCAUCUGAUAGGUGAAGUGUGUGUUCUCACCAUCUGGUAGGUGAAGUGUGUGUUCUCACCGUCUGGUAGGUGAAGUGUGUGUUCUCACCGUCUGGUAGGUGAAGUGUGUGUUCUCACCGUCUGGUAGGUGAAGUGUGUGUUCUCACCAUCUGAUAGGUGAAGUGUGUGUUCUCACCGUCUGGUAGGUGAAGUGUGUGUUCUCACCAUCUGAUAGGUGAAGUGUGUGUUCUCACCAUCUGGUAGGUGAAGUGUGUGUUCUCACCGUCUGGUAGGUGAAGUGUGUGUUCUCACCGUCUGGUAGGUGAAGUGUGUGUUCUCACCAUCUGAUAGGUGAAGUGUGUGUUCUCACCGUCUGGUAGGUGAAGUGUGUGUUCUCACCAUCUGAUAGGUGAAGUGAAGUGUGUGUUCUCACCAUCUGGUAGGUGAAGUGUGUGUUCUCACCGUCUGGUAGGUGAAGUGUG